CUUCAUUAAUGCUUCUUGGAAACUGCCUAUUAUACAUAAGGACCAAGAUAAAAUGCUCAGUAACAUCUUGAGCAAUGUGCUGAUAAUGAGGUCUGAAUUUAAUAGACUACGCAGUCUAGCUUAUUCAUCCAUUCAGUACUUCCUGUGUCAACUGUUAGGUGGAUCUAUUUGUCAUGAACUGACCUUCACACAAGAGAACCUGAAGUCCCUCACUAUUUGUAAGAGUCCUCCACCCUUGAAGUCUUGGAUUUCAUUAUGUGAAUAUAUUUAAUAUACAAUGAAUAUACAACAAAUAUACAACAUACUAUUCUGGCCCCUUAAUCUAUUCUUUAUUUUUUUUCUUUUGAAAGAAAUAUACUUUUCAUAGUCAUAUUCUAACAAUGAAACUCAGCCUACCAUGCCUCAGAGAUACCUACUAGGAUGAAUUUAUGUCCUUGCAUUAAGAUUUCUAGUUCACUUGGUUUUAUUACCUGUACUUUGUGCAUUUGGGUAUAGACAUCUGAGCUCUUUGGUUUUAUUAUUGAUUCCAUUCUGUGAAUUACUGGGCCUCCCUAAUGUUAUUCUUAUUCGUGUAUUGUAGCUGCUUCUCUCUAUGGUAGCUGGAUUGGCAGAUAUAUGUAAGCAGUCUUGCCCUUUUCCUUCCCCUCUGGUUUCUGUCUAGAACCCUCUUAAUGAGAUUUGCAUGCAGCCAAUUCUGUUCUUACCAGUCCUCAUUAGGCACACUCCAUUCCUGGUCAAAAGCCCAUACUCCCUUCGUUUUAAGCCAUCAUUCAGGUUCUUUUCCCAGAUUUCUUCUUAACAAGCUGCUCAUUUUCCCAAUCCACCUUUCUCUUCCAAAGCCCCUGCCUCCAGUGGGCAGCAGUGAUUAAGAACCUGUGCCCCUCCAAGAUCUUCAGUUUCUCACCCAGAACUUCAGAAUUUUGAGCAACUGUUCCUAUGAUCUUCCUGGAGCUCUUCUUUGCUCCCAUCUGAAUGAUAAGAACUGGAUGGCCAUCCACAAGUUUAACAAGUCUCAAGAGUCCCAGUUACAUGUCCUGGAAAAACAACAAAUUUUUUUUUAUUAUUUAUGUCAUACUGACAAAUAACUGCCUCAGAGCCCCCCAACAGGGAGUCAUCUACCCCUUUAAUCUAGGUUCUAAAUUUCUUUCACUAUAUAUUAAUAUUACAUUUUCUGGGAUUUGGGGAGGGCCUCAGAUCAUGAGGCUGGCUUAUCCUAAAUUGGUAAUAAAAAGUGUAAGUCUUUUUUUCCAAUGAAAUACUGCUAAAAACUGCUUUUGCCCUUUCUAUUCAUGUGCAGCUAAUUGUUUUUUUAACCUAAAAUACAAAACUUUAUAUCUACCUCUAUUAAAUUUCAACUUAUUGUUUAUACCCAUUUUUCCAGCCUGAUAAUGUUUUUUUCUUUACCCUGUCAUCCAGAAUAAUUGGAAAUGAUAUACAUACAUCAUAUAUUUUCACCUAAUUUCUGUGUUCUUCAACAUUGAUCUCUAGAAUUCUUUUCAAUUCUGAAUCUAUGAUUCUAUGAACCCAUAUAUACUUGAAUUUUUUCUCUACAUUAACUACAUUAACAUUAGACCUGAGACCUAAAAUAUUCAUGUAUGUACUGGUCCUUUAGAGAAUUAUUAUGUAAGUAGGAAAACAAGACCAACAAAGUGCUAAAUUUGGAGCCCUAGGAAAAAAGAACACUAGAGUAAGAAAUGAGAAAUCAGAGAAAUAUCUGUGUUUGUGUCUGUGCAUAUGAUGACUAAGGUAAAGAUUGAAUAUAAAUGAGAAUUAAGUCCAGGUCAAAGCAUCUAGGGAAUCCAAGUCAGAGACAGAGCAGAUAAAUAAUUGCAGUAACACUGUCUAAGAUGAAUUGUCCACCAAUGGUUUUUUGGUGGGUGCAGGAUACUUUCAACCAUGAUCACUUGUCUUGAAAGAACUGACAUCCCAACUGAUUUGAGAUAGGAUGCCAUCCUCAUCCCACCUACCCUUAUUCAUCAUCAAGUCUGUCUAAUUCAUCAUCAAGUCCUAUUCAAUUUUUUUAUAGUAUUGUUCAUCCUUCAUUUUUCAAAGAGGUCCAAUGACAGAAUGAGAUGAUGUCUUGACUUAUGCAUACAUUGGAUUUAACUGAAGCAGAGUUGCACAAAGUCAUCAUAAUUGUACAUAUAUACCUAUUUAAAUGGUGUUUAAUGAUAACCUCUCUAGGAUGGGAUAGGGGAGCUGAGGGAAGAAAAAAAAAGUACAAAAUAAUUAUUAUAUUUGAAAUUUUAUAUUAUAUUUGAAAGGAAUAGCAGCAAAUUGUGUAUGGUAGACUUGCAGUUUUGUGUAAUCUCUUUAUUGUACUGUUAUCUUUUUAUUGUACUAUUAU
Long non-coding RNA from Antechinus flavipes (yellow-footed antechinus), 2347 nucleotides. RefSeq lists it as uncharacterized. Lineage: Eukaryota; Metazoa; Chordata; Mammalia; Dasyuromorphia; Dasyuridae. The transcript has 3 exons. The record is from RefSeq and is a predicted model, not a curated record.